CCUCUGCUUCUCUGCAGUCCUGCUUCCAAGCAGUUUCUCUGACCUCCUUGUUUUUCUCCCCCUGCCUUGCAGAUCACCCUACGUUAAAGGAAGUCGUGGAACCGUUCUGGUCUCCGUCUUCAUUUGUGUCAUGUUCAGAGUAGUUUGGGAACUCCAGCCUCGACACCUCACCCAUGAGCCUCCUCACUGCUUCCAACUCCAAGCCCAGCUUCUCAGGAGCCACCUGAGAACCACCCAUCAACCUGCCUGUCCACCCUCCAACGUUGAAACUCUCCAACCAUAGUGGAGUUUCCUGGAAGAGAAGAAACUAAGCACUUCAUCCUACGAAACCUGUUCACAGCCUGUCACCCUCAAGCCACUGUGGAGAAGGACUUAUUUCCCCCCGGUCUUGCCAAGAACCCAACCCCUAGAGACCCCCGUUUGUCCGUAAGCUCCAGUCCUGGUUCCAGUCCGACCUUUAUCCGUGUUUCUGAAACUGUUAAAACACUGUCUUUGUCCUCGUGGUUGUGUAUCUCAGAGUCUAAGAAAACCGCAAUAUGACAGUUCUUUUAUAUAUUUGUAUUCUUUUUUUUUUUAUAUUGCAAAUACUAAUAUUGAUACUGUCUUGCUUUUACUUGUUUUUCUGUUUUUUAUUGGGUGCCUUGCAACGAAAUUUCAUGCAAAUGUACAUUCUGAAUGUGCAGUUGAAUGACAACAAAAUAAGUCUAACUGAAGAACAUAAAAAGGGAAUUGCAGAGAAACAGAAAAGAGGGAAACUCAAAGCUCAAACACUUAACACAGACGGGUCAUGACAAUUAUUUUGAGGGCAAUUGGACCACAGAGGUCCUCCAGUCCAAUUGGUAAUGAUAAUUCGCCAGUCCCUUACCUAUCUGUCCAAAAGAAAAAAAGCUUAUUUCAAUGAUUUCUCACCAUUAUUUCAAAACUGUUUUUUUUUUUGUGUUCUUGUGGUUCCUGAGAGACAAAUUAACAGCAAAGCAUAUAAAGAGAAGAUUUUUGGCAGUCAAGCGGACUGUUGGGUUAAUGGUAACAGGAAUCUUAUUGAACUCUUCUCAUCUCAUUAGCUGUAAGUUAAAAUUCCCGCCUAAUUAUCCAAAAGGGGAAGCAGAGUCCUAGCAAAAGCAGGUAAGACAUUGACUACUCGUAGAUUCUUUGCAAAAUGUUAAAAAAAAAAAAAGGAAAUUUCUAUAUCCAUUCUAGAGAAGAACCACUGAAUUAGCUGGUGGAUGAAACAUGUCUAUUUUCAUUUGUGACAGCUGUAAUCAGUGACAGACUGAUAGGGCAUUUGAAUAUUAAUUAGGGAAACUUUAUAGUGUGUAAUUUAAAGCAUUAGUAGUUGGUUUUUGACAUAUAAACGUUUGAAAGCAGACAUGUUCAGCAAAAGCAACUUUAUCACUGUGGUUACUGCUGUGCAAUUUCAAUUUGAUACAUUUCUGUUUUUAAAAGGAGUAAACUGCAGAUAAACUGCACAACAAAUAUCUGAAAGGCAGUUUUGGCUGAAUACUCCUUAAAAACAUCAAAUGAAAAUUACACAACAGUAAUGGCUCUUAAUCAUGUCUUGUAACAAAGUUGUGGUGUGCUUAUCUGCAGAAAUACCAGCAUGUCAAAAAGCUGUUCCAUCUUAUUGCACAGCUGUCAGGUAUAAAAAAAAAAAGACACAUCAUUUCAAAUUCCUCUCACAUCUUUCGUUUCCUGUUGGCGUGCAAAACAUCUGUGGUACAUUCAGCCUUUCUUGGUAGAACUGAGAUUUCCAUAUGAAAUAUGCACUGCAGAAGGCUACCUCAGACUGUCCAAAGUGGGUGGAGGGUGAACAUGUUUAUCUGUACUUUAGAGCGUUUGCUUAGUUUUUGUUUAACAACUACCCAACUUGACCAUGAUGCAUAGAAGAGCUUCUGCAAAUAAUGAGGUUUUUAUUUUUACCCUCACUCCAGGAACAAGCUUUUUCAGGCAUGAUGGAUUUCUAAGUGUUUCUUCUAUAUGCAGGUACUCCAUGACACAAAAGGUAAUAUGUAUUGUUUGGUAUUAUCUGUGACAGACAAAAUAUCUACAGCAAACAUUUCCAGCAAUUUAUUGUUCUGUUAUUGCAUAGCUUUAUAUGUAACUGUGCAAUGCAUUAUGAGUAAGUGAUCAUAUUGUGUUGUAUUCUUUCACACAACCAUACUUUUUUAUAACAAGCAGUAGCUAGCCACCAUCUAUGCAUGCAUUUAAGGCAGGAAAUACAAAUCUAAAUAUGUUUCAGCUGA
Girardinichthys multiradiatus is the source of this 2240-nucleotide long non-coding RNA. RefSeq lists it as uncharacterized. The transcript has 2 exons. The record is from RefSeq and is a predicted model, not a curated record. NCBI's taxonomy places the organism in Eukaryota, Metazoa, Chordata, Actinopteri, Cyprinodontiformes, Goodeidae.